RNAcentral lists this ribosomal RNA (163 nucleotides) under Tiquilia gossypina. Its description in RNAcentral is "5.8S ribosomal RNA". It matches the Rfam family "5.8S ribosomal RNA". From Rfam's summary of the family: 5.8S ribosomal RNA (5.8S rRNA) is a component of the large subunit of the eukaryotic ribosome. It is transcribed by RNA polymerase I as part of the 45S precursor that also contains 18S and 28S rRNA. The record is from RNAcentral. Lineage: Eukaryota; Viridiplantae; Streptophyta; Magnoliopsida; Boraginales; Ehretiaceae.
CAACGACUCUCGGCAACGGAUAUCUCGGCUCUCGCAUCGAUGAAGAACGUAGCGAAAUGCGAUACUUGGUGUGAAUUGCAGAAUCCCGUGAACCAUCGAGUCUUUGAACGCAAGUUGCGCCCGAAGCCGUCAGGCCGAGGGUACGUCUGCCUGGGCGUCACGC